Molecule: long non-coding RNA, 1182 nt
Filed under: Anas platyrhynchos platyrhynchos (common mallard)
Lineage: Eukaryota; Metazoa; Chordata; Aves; Anseriformes; Anatidae
Description: lncRNA (ENSAPLG00000030323.1)
Source: RNAcentral
AUGUGGGCACUGAGGGAAGCCGCGAUGCUGGGGCUCAGUGCACGGGGCACAGCUGUGCUGACACGGCUCCACGGCUCCGCACCAAAGCCGCCCAGUUCAUGCGUGGCUCCCGGGGAGCUAAACGGGAGCCGAUCCUCCCCAAAAACCCAACCUGGAUCUUGCAGUGAGAUGGGGAUGGGACGAGCAGUGUGCGGGGCUGAGGGCGCACUGACUUGUGCUGGAGCUUCUUUGUGGGGUUUGGACACUUUGGGGGGUUGGACUCGUGGGGUCUGGACUCUUUGGGGCUUGGGCUUUUGGGGUUUGGACUCUUUGGGACUUGGACUUGUUGGGGUCUGGACUCUUUGGGGCUUGGACUCCUGGGGGUUUGGACGCUUUGGGGCUUGGGCUUUUGGAGUUUGGGCUUUUAGGGUUUGGACUCUUUGGGGGUUUGGACUUUUGGGGUUUGGAUGCUUUGGGGCUUGGACUUUUGGGGUAUGGACUUGCAGGGUUUGGACUAUUGGGGUAUUGACUUUUGGGGCUUGGACUCUUUGGGGCUUGGGCUUUUGGUGUUCAGGCUUCUGGGGUAUUGGCUUUGGGGGUUUGGACUCUUUGGGGCUUGGACUCCUGGGGGUUUGGACCUGUGGGAUUUGGACUUUUGGGGUUUGGACUUUUGGGGCUCGGACGCUUUGGGCUUUGUGUUCUCGGGCUUUGCUCUCCCUGAGGCUCGGCCCCUGCCCUGCCCUGCCCGUGGCGCUGUCCCCCCCCCGCUCCUUCAGCAGCCGGCCCCGGGCCCCCCGGGGGGGGCGGGGGGGCUCGGGGGGGGCCCGGCCCUGGGGGGGGGGGGGGGGGGGCGCAGGGCGGGGUCCCGGUCCCGGUGCCGUUCCCGUUCCCGGCCGGGGGUAUUUUGGGUGCGCGCAGCCCGCCCCGCGCCGCCCGCCCGUGACCUACCUGCAGCCCGAGCCGCUGCCAGCCCCGCGCCGUGAGCGCCUCCGCCAGGACGGCCCCGCCCCCUCCCCCCCCCCGCCUCCCACCGGCCCCGCCCCGCCCCGCCCCGGCCCCGGUACGGGAUGGCGGCGGCGGCAAGAGCCCGGAACCCCGGAGCCGCACCCGCGGGGGCGACACGGAACCUCCGCGGCGGGCGCACCGCCCCGCGCUGAUUGGUCGGCGGAGCCGGCGAGGAGCGCGGUGAUUGGCCCUCCGUGA